Long non-coding RNA from Felis catus (domestic cat), 1813 nucleotides. RefSeq lists it as uncharacterized. The transcript is spliced from 3 exons. The record is from RefSeq and is a predicted model, not a curated record. NCBI's taxonomy places the organism in Eukaryota, Metazoa, Chordata, Mammalia, Carnivora, Felidae.
CAAGUGGCCAGAGACCACACAUCUGAUGCCUCAUCCCACCUGCCUACUUAAGUCCAGGGCAAGGCACAGAGCCAAAUCCCUCCACUUAGGGAUUGCCCUCGUUUGAACAAUCGCUUAAAGCAGCGUCUUGUCAAAGUGUGGCCCUGCACCACCCGCCUCAGAACUACUCAAAAGAGUUUGCGUAAAACGCAGAUUCUGGGGCCCAAACCCUCCUACCGAGUCUGCCUCCGCAAGCAGGACCCAGAAUAAGCGCCGCCUCCGCCCCUCCUCCCCCGCCCCACGUGAUCCUUAGGUGAGUGGUUCUCAAACUUAAAUGGGGAUGAGGGCACGAUUCCCUCGCGGACCUAACUCAACCCCAGGCAGUCUCUGUGACAAACGGGAAAGGAAUCCCACAGGCCAGGGCUGGGCGCGCUGAGCCCAGUGUGGACCGCACUCGGCCAUCACCUGUCUGCGCACCUGAACCCACUGAGGAUGCAACCCAGCGAGCUGGGUCUACUCAACCCUCGGACAUUGAACCUGUUGAACUUGCUGAAGUUAAAGCCCUCCCAGGAUGCAAGUGAUCCUAAAAACAGGUACUAUCUAGAAGUGAGCCAUCCAAGUUGGUGCCUUCAAGAUACUUGCACUCCCGGGGAGGAGAAAAAAUAAGCCAACAAAUAAAUAGUAAAACCAUAAAAAUAUAAAGGAUGACAGGUAAGCACAAUAACAUGUAUGUGUGUGUUAGACCAAUUGAAAUUGACGAUAUUCUACCAUUUUGACCUACAAGGAUAGCCAUUUUCUGUGGUAUGACCAUCUGUAUUGUUGAGGUGGGGAGAGUGGAGAUUCUGCAUAAGGUCAUGAGAAAAGACUUCUCAGAGAAGGUGGCAGAUGAGCAGAGACCUGUAUGCAAGGAGGAAGGGAGCCAUGUAAAAAUGGUGGGAAGAGUGUUCCAGACUUAGGGGAAAGCAAAGUUCAGGAUUUUGAGGUGGGAAUUCUGGGUGCGUGUGUGAAGAAGGUCUGGAUAUCCAGUGUGGAUACAAUAGAGGAACAGGGGCAAAAACAGUAUGAGAUAAGAUGAACGUGGCAGCCAGAUAUAGAUGACAUAGGGCCUCAUGUGACCCACAGGACAUAACAAAGACUUUGAGUUUUAUUCUGGGAGUCAAAUGAGAAGCACUUAGAGGUUUGAGAACAGAGGUGAUGUGAUGAAAGAUCAGCCUUAGGAACACUAGGGAGGUGAGACUGUAGAGGGGCCAGCAUGGAAGCGGGUGGAGGGGCAGUUGGGUCACCACGGCAGGAUCCAGGAAGGAGGUGAUGGUGACAGGCAAGGUUGUUAGCACUGAAGGAGGUGAGAACGGGUAGACUUUACGACACAAAAGCGGCAGGAUUUUACGGAUUGAAUUCGAUGUAACAGUUGAGAAUGAAAAGUUAAAGAUGACAAGAUUUUUGGCCUGAGCUACCGAUAAGUGCUGGAGCCAUUUACUGAACUAGGAAAGACAGAAGAAGGUGAAAUUUAACGUGGGUGGAAAAAGUAAAGAGUUUGAUUUUAGAUACAUUCAAUUUAACAUUCUUCUUAUAUAUCCAUUUUGAGAUAACUGUAUAGAAGUUGAAUAAACAAAUCUCGAGUUUUAAGAAUAGGACAAAAUGGGAUAUAUACACUUGGAAGUUAUUAGCAUAAAGAUCUAUUUAAUGCAUGGGACUGGUAGAAAUCACCUAGGGAAAGUGAAUAGGGCAGAGAAGAGAUCUAAGAACAGUGGUCCAGGGGUGCCUGGGUGGCUCAGUGAGUUAAGCAGCCGACGUUGGCUCAGGUCAUGAUCUCUCGGUCCAUGAGUUUGAGCCC